AGAAGCAAUAAUGUUAAUAUGAGUAACAAGAAAAUUUUCUCCCUGCAUGAGUGUAUAUCAGAACGAAUGAUGCACUGGUAGUUAACAAAUACAGACAUAACUAGCUAACUAAAAUCUUAAUACAACUGUUAGUCCAACACAGGCAUGCACCCAGGAAGAUAAGA
This 164-nucleotide ribosomal RNA is filed under the name Myotis sodalis (Indiana bat). Its description in RNAcentral is "partial 16S ribosomal RNA". Lineage: Eukaryota; Metazoa; Chordata; Mammalia; Chiroptera; Vespertilionidae. The record is from RNAcentral.